GCAACCCUCGCCUCUAGUUGCCAGCAUUCGGUUGGGCACUCGUAGAGGGACUGCCGGCGACAAGUCCGGAGGAAGGUGGGGAGUGACGUCAAAUCAUCAUGCCCCUUAUGACCUGGGCUACACACGUGCUACAAUGGGCGGUACAAAGGGCUGCGAACCCGCGAGGGGGAGCGAAUCCCAAAAAGCCGCUCUCAGUUCGGAUUGCAGGCUGCAACUCGCCUGCAUGAAGCCGGAAUCGCUAGUAAUCGCGGAUCAGCAUGCCGCGGUGAAUACGUUCCCGGGCCUU
This 286-nucleotide ribosomal RNA is filed under the name uncultured Geobacillus sp. Its description in RNAcentral is "partial 16S ribosomal RNA". It matches the Rfam family "Bacterial small subunit ribosomal RNA", at positions 1098 to 1382 of the family's 1533-position model. The record is from RNAcentral. Lineage: Bacteria; Bacillati; Bacillota; Bacilli; Caryophanales; Anoxybacillaceae.